RNAcentral lists this ribosomal RNA (1342 nucleotides) under Bacillus sp. SGE105(2010). RNAcentral's name for it is "bacterial SSU rRNA". It matches the Rfam family "Bacterial small subunit ribosomal RNA", at positions 38 to 1364 of the family's 1533-position model. Lineage: Bacteria; Bacillati; Bacillota; Bacilli; Caryophanales; Bacillaceae. The record is from RNAcentral.
GGAUGCGCGUGAUAUACAUGCAGUCGAGCGAAUCGAUGGGAGCUUGCUCCCUGAGAUUAGCGGCGGACGGGUGAGUAACACGUGGGCAACCUGCCUAUAAGACUGGGAUAACUUCGGGAAACCGGAGCUAAUACCGGAUACGUUCUUUUCUCGCAUGAGAGAAGAUGGAAAGACGGUUUCGGCUGUCACUUAUAGAUGGGCCCGCGGCGCAUUAGCUAGUUGGUGAGGUAAUGGCUCACCAAGGCGACGAUGCGUAGCCGACCUGAGAGGGUGAUCGGCCACACUGGGACUGAAACACGGCCCAAACUCCUACGGGAGGCAGCAGUAGGGAAUCUUCCGCAAUGGACGAAAGUCUGACGGAGCAACGCCGCGUGAACGAAGAAGGCCUUCGGGUCGUAAAGUUCUGUUGUUAGGGAAGAACAAGUACCAGAGUAACUGCUGGUACCUUGACGGUACCUAACCAGAAAGCCACGGCUAACUACGUGCCAGCAGCCGCGGUAAUACGUAGGUGGCAAGCGUUGUCCGGAAUUAUUGGGCGUAAAGCGCGCGCAGGUGGUUCCUUAAGUCUGAUGUGAAAGCCCACGGCUCAACCGUGGAGGGUCAUUGGAAACUGGGGAACUUGAGUGCAGAAGAGGAAAGUGGAAUUCCAAGUGUAGCGGUGAAAUGCGUAGAGAUUUGGAGGAACACCAGUGGCGAAGGCGACUUUCUGGUCUGUAACUGACACUGAGGCGCGAAAGCGUGGGGAGCAAACAGGAUUAGAUACCCUGGUAGUCCACGCCGUAAACGAUGAGUGCUAAGUGUUAGAGGGUUUCCGCCCUUUAGUGCUGCAGCUAACGCAUUAAGCACUCCGCCUGGGGAGUACGGCCGCAAGGCUGAAACUCAAAGGAAUUGACGGGGGCCCGCACAAGCGGUGGAGCAUGUGGUUUAAUUCGAAGCAACGCGAAGAACCUUACCAGGUCUUGACAUCCUCUGACAACCCUAGAGAUAGGGCGUUCCCCUUCGGGGGACAGAGUGACAGGUGGUGCAUGGUUGUCGUCAGCUCGUGUCGUGAGAUGUUGGGUUAAGUCCCGCAACGAGCGCAACCCUUGAUCUUAGUUGCCAGCAUUCAGUUGGGCACUCUAAGGUGACUGCCGGUGACAAACCGGAGGAAGGUGGGGAUGACGUCAAAUCAUCAUGCCCCUUAUGACCUGGGCUACACACGUGCUACAAUGGAUGGUACAAAGGGCUGCAAACCUGCGAAGGUAAGCGAAUCCCAUAAAGCCAUUCUCAGUUCGGAUUGUAGGCUGCAACUCGCCUACAUGAAGCCGGAAUCGCUAGUAAUCGCGGAUCAGCAUGUCGCAUA